AGCGCAGGUGGUUGUAUAAGUCUGAAGUAAAAGGCAGUGGCUCAACCAUUGUGUGCUUUGGAAACUGUACAACUUGAGUGCAGAAGGGGAGAGUGGAAUUCCAUGUGUAGCGGUGAAAUGCGUAGAUAUAUGGAGGAACACCGGUGGCGAAAGCGGCUCUCUGGUCUGUAACUGACACUGAGGCUCGAAAGGCGUGGGAGCAAACA
RNAcentral lists this ribosomal RNA (206 nucleotides) under uncultured bacterium. RNAcentral describes it as "partial 16S ribosomal RNA". It matches the Rfam family "Bacterial small subunit ribosomal RNA", at positions 568 to 774 of the family's 1533-position model. The record is from RNAcentral.